Molecule: transfer RNA, 88 nt
Filed under: Fidelibacterota bacterium
Lineage: Bacteria; Pseudomonadati; Fidelibacterota
Description: tRNA-Ser
Rfam family: tRNA
About the family: Transfer RNA (tRNA) molecules are approximately 80 nucleotides in length. Their secondary structure includes four short double-helical elements and three loops (D, anti-codon, and T loops). Further hydrogen bonds mediate the characteristic L-shaped molecular structure. tRNAs have two regions of fundamental functional importance: the anti-codon, which is responsible for specific mRNA codon recognition, and the 3' end, to which the tRNAs corresponding amino acid is attached (by aminoacyl-tRNA synthetases). tRNAs cope with the degeneracy of the genetic code in two manners: having more than one tRNA (with a specific anti-codon) for a particular amino acid; and 'wobble' base-pairing, i.e. permitting non-standard base-pairing at the 3rd anti-codon position.
Source: RNAcentral
GGAGAGAUGGCAGAGUCUGGCUGAAUGCGCUGCACUCGAAAUGCAGUUUACGCUAUGCGUAACGGGGGUUCGAAUCCCUCUCUCUCCG